ACCUAGAGGUGUUGCAGAUGCAACUGCUGCAUCCCGUGGGUGUCAGGAGGUGGCAGAGGAGAGGGGCUAUUGUCUACGCUCAGUGUUCUGACCUGUGGACAUUUCAAUGAUUAGUAGCCUAAUAUU
Molecule: small nucleolar RNA, 126 nt
Organism: Mastomys coucha (southern multimammate mouse)
Lineage: Eukaryota; Metazoa; Chordata; Mammalia; Rodentia; Muridae
Product: small nucleolar RNA SNORA17
Exons: 1
Source: RefSeq, a predicted model, not a curated record